AAGGGUGCAGGGCGGAUGCCUUGGCACUAGGAGCCGAUGAAGGACGUGAUAAGCUGCGAUAAGCUUCGGGGAGUUGCACGUAAACUUUGAUCCGAAGAUUUCCGAAUGAGGAAACUCACUUAGAGUAAUGUCUAAGUAUCAUUAAGUGAAUACAUAGCUUAAUGAGGGGAACUCAGGGAACUGAAACAUCUAAGUACCUGAAGGAAGAGAAAGAAAUUCGAUUCCGUAAGUAGCGGCGAGCGAACGCGGAUUAGCCCAAACCAAUAAAGUUUUCUUUAUUGGGGUUGCGGACAUAUCAUAACGAAGAGGUAUCGUAAUUGAAGAGGUUUGGAAAGACCCACCACAGAAGGUAAUAGUCCUGUAUGUUAAACGAGAAGACU
This 380-nucleotide ribosomal RNA is filed under the name Clostridioides difficile. RNAcentral describes it as "partial 23S ribosomal RNA". It matches the Rfam family "Bacterial large subunit ribosomal RNA", at positions 13 to 394 of the family's 2925-position model. Lineage: Bacteria; Bacillati; Bacillota; Clostridia; Peptostreptococcales; Peptostreptococcaceae. The record is from RNAcentral.